UCAGGUUAAUACCUAAGUGUGGCAUUUUAUUUUAAAAAUAAUAAGCAAUCUAGAAAGCUAAAUUUUAGCAAUAUUCAUUCUUAAACAAUGUUUGACACUUAAAUCCAGAAAUUUGAUUGUUAAAGUUUUCCUAAUUACUUCACUAAAAUCAGGUUGAAAGAAAACUGCUUUUGUCUAAAAUAGUUUUGCAGAUGGGAAUUGUUAAGUCAUUGUAUUGUUCCAUUUUGCACCCUACAAUUUCACUGAAAGGCAGACUGAUAAAAAUCAGCGAGGCCAGUUUCUGAACACUACCCUCUCCUCCAGAGGACACACCUCCAGGGCAAUCUGUCCCUUUGGGCCUGCCUUCACAGGACCCUCCAGUACCUACCUCUCCCAGGAAGGUUGGCUAACGUUUGUCCUGAACAGACAAAUCUAGAAAUGAGCAGCCAGGGGUGCAGACGCCCGGUCUUUGCUUUGGAACAAGGGCUACUUCCUGCUUCUGCCAGGAGGAGCGACCCAAGGGAACACACACGUUUUCUUGGAGUCACAAGAAGAGGGGACUCUCAACUUUGAGAGUCGUUCUCACUUCCUCUUUCCUCAUUCACUCACAUCCGACAGACAUUGGUUGCAGGUCUGUGCUCUGCCACACUCUGGGAAUAGAUACCAAGAUGGGUUAUCUGGGGCCUCCAGGCUCAUGGGGUAUGGGGCAGUCACGCCAGGACACAGUUAAAACCCAGUGUGAAGGGAAGGAGGCUUGCUUUGUUCCCCAGGGUGGAGUGCAGUAGCGUGAUCGCAGCUCACUGCAGCCUUGAACUCCCGGGCUCAAGCGAUCCUGCUGCCUCAGCCUCCUAAGUAGCUAGGACUACAGGUAUGUGCCACCACGCCUGGCUAAUUGUUGAAUUUUUUGUAGAGAUGGGUCUUACUAUGUUACCCAGGUUGGUCUCGAACUCCAAAGCUCAAGAUAUCCCUGCCACCCUUGGUCUCCCAAAGUGCUGAGAUUACAGACACGAAUCGGUGAUUUUUACCCUGAGACCCUAAUGAUAAGAUGGAAGGAAAUGCUUUUCUUUUUUUUUUUUUUUCCUUCUUUUUUGAAGGAAGUCUCGCUCUAUUGCCCAGGCUGGAGUACAGUGGCACAAUCUUGGCUCAUUGCAACCUCCAUCUCCCCAGUUCAAUGGAUUCUCCUGCCUCAGCCUCCUGAGUAGCUGGGAUUGCAGGCGUGUGCCACCGUGCCCAGCUAAUUUUUGUAUUUUUAGUAGAGACAGGGUUUCACCAUGUUGGCCAGGCUGGUCUGGAACUCCUGGCCUCAAGUGAUCUGCCCAACUCGGCCUCCAAAAGUGCUGGGAUUACAGGCGUGAGUCAUCGC
RNAcentral lists this long non-coding RNA (1342 nucleotides) under Papio anubis (olive baboon). Its description in RNAcentral is "lncRNA (ENSPANG00000049443.1)". The record is from RNAcentral. Lineage: Eukaryota; Metazoa; Chordata; Mammalia; Primates; Cercopithecidae.